Molecule: non-coding RNA, 893 nt
Filed under: Pan troglodytes (chimpanzee)
Lineage: Eukaryota; Metazoa; Chordata; Mammalia; Primates; Hominidae
Source: RNAcentral
GCAUUUAGGUUUCGGGCGGGCGGACGGGGGACGGCCCGAGUGAGGCGUCCUCCGAAGGCUGCGGGCCCGAAGCCAGAACUCCUUCCUCUCCGAAGACCUCGGGGGUGGGGCUCGCGCUUCCGCAGCGGGCCUAGAGCGAGAGGCAGGCGGCAGGUCAAGAGACUGCUCUCCUCCCCAAGCUAGGGGAAUCUUCUGGGACUCCAUCAACUGACAAUGAGGGGAUAAUGGUCCCUCACUGCCCCAUCAGGAAAGGCUCGUGGGUGAUUGGGACCUUUGCUUGAAACCCAACUUACUGGCCAGGAACCUCAAGUUCUGGGACCAGGCGCCUUCCUCCCUCCCACUGUGCCAGGGGAGGGGAGACAAAAUCCCUCAAUGGCUGUCUAGCUCCAGGCAGAUCAGCUGCCACGGGGACUGCUGAGCAGGGAGAGGCUGUCGAUGCUGAGGCACGAGAGAAUUUGCUCCUGCUCCUCCAGAGAAAAUGGCUGGGACAGGCUGUUGAGGAAUAAUUCUGCAGGGAAAAGUGGAAGAUGGCUGUGAAAGACUGGGAGGAGGCUGGCUAUGUUUUCAGGGGUUCUUCCUGCACAGUCGGUAGAAGCUGAGCUGCUGGGGAAGGGGCUGGAAGAAAGCCCACACCGCAGGUAUCAGUAGCAAAUUCAAAAACUACAGAAUCAGCUCCAGAGGACUUUGUUAACAAGAAAGAGAAGAUUGAAAACAGCCCUGGGGCUACACCAACUCAAGAGCUCCCAGGCAAAGUGGCAUCCUGGACCCACCAUCUCUCCUACCCCAUCCUCAGUUGGUACUUCCCCAGGCACCGUUUGUUCUGGCAUGGGGCGAGUUCAGCCCUGGGACCACCCUCAUCCUUAUAACUACCAGCUGUCUUUGGUGAGGUGCAA